GGAGAAGCAACAUGAUGAGCAUUAUCUGUUGGAGCCCUACAAAGGUAUAAAAGGUGUGUUUUUGUGUGAGUGUGUGCGUUUGUGUGUGCGUGUGCUCACUGAAGACAUGCAUGUAUUUGAGUGGAGCUAGGGACUCAAGUACCUUUUAUCUAGGGCUAUGAUAUUCAAACUGAUAAGAUCUGAUGGCUUC
RNAcentral lists this small nucleolar RNA (190 nucleotides) under Ornithorhynchus anatinus (platypus). Its description in RNAcentral is "Small nucleolar RNA ZL1 (ENSOANG00000050255.1)". It matches the Rfam family "Small nucleolar RNA ZL1". Rfam says of the family: Host gene TRRAP. Predicted target U2@U47. Lineage: Eukaryota; Metazoa; Chordata; Mammalia; Monotremata; Ornithorhynchidae. The record is from Rfam by way of RNAcentral.